This 475-nucleotide ribosomal RNA is filed under the name uncultured bacterium. RNAcentral's name for it is "bacterial SSU rRNA". It matches the Rfam family "Bacterial small subunit ribosomal RNA", at positions 32 to 518 of the family's 1533-position model. The record is from RNAcentral.
UACGAGGACGACGCUGGCGGCGUGCUUCAUACAUGCAAGUCGAACGAGAAUCUGGCUUCGGUCAGAGGAAAGUGGCGGACGGGUGAGUAAUGUGUAGAGAAUCUGCCCUUUAGUGGGGGACAACAGUUGGAAACGACUGCUAAUACCCCAUAUGCGCGUAGCUGAGAUGCUAUUCGUGAAAACUCCGGUGCUAAAGGAUGAGUCUGCAUCUGAUUAGCUAGUUGGCGGUGUAAUGGACCACCAAGGCGACGAUCAGUAGCUGGUUUGAGAGGAUGAUCAGCCACAAUGGGACUGAGACACGGCCCAUACUCCUACGGGAGGCAGCAGUAGGGAAUUUUGCGCAAUGGGGGAAACCCUGACGCCAGCAACGCCGCGUGAUUGAAUAAGCCCUUCGGGGUGUAAAGAUCUGUCAGUAGGGACGAAACUUGACGGUACCUACAGAGGAAGCAUCGGCUAACUCCGUGCCAGCCGCCGC